AGGGUUUAAUGAUAACUGGCGUUAUUUACAGUUUUUCGAGUAAACUGUAUUGAAGUUCGAUUCUUCUAAACUCUU
Molecule: transfer RNA, 75 nt
Filed under: Lactifluus piperatus
Lineage: Eukaryota; Fungi; Basidiomycota; Agaricomycetes; Russulales; Russulaceae
Description: Lactarius piperatus tRNA-Ser
Source: RNAcentral